Molecule: long non-coding RNA, 1465 nt
Organism: Parus major (Great Tit)
Lineage: Eukaryota; Metazoa; Chordata; Aves; Passeriformes; Paridae
Exons: 3
Source: RefSeq, a predicted model, not a curated record
GAUCUGGAGGGAUCUGGGAGAGGGGACAGUGCUUUCCCUGCUGGCUUUGAUCCCACUUGGCUCUCAGCCAUCCUCAGGACCUCACUGGUUCCUUGCCAAGACAACUGCUGGAUUCAGCACCUUCCCCAGGGAUUCCCCAGCCUGGAGAUCCCUCACGGGGAUCCAGUGGCAUUUUGCUUCAAAAUGAUGAAAUUAAUUUUAAAGUUGUAUCAGUCUCCCAUGAAAUCUUCCAGCACAAGGAAUACCCCGAGCCCAACCCGAAUCAUUCCACGAUCUGCAGCCUCGGAACCACAGACCAGAAUGUUUGGAAAUACCUGGAGGAUUUGGCUGGGAGGAUUUUCCCAACCCUGCCAAGCUAAAGGAGAGGGGAAGGUGCAAAAGAGACUGCAUUUCCCUGGGUUUUCCUAGAGAAAAGGGCUCUGGGAAGGGAUGAGGGCUGGAGACAGCGGGAACAUCCCUGCCUGUCCCACCCGAUCCGGCUCACGGGCAGGGACCUCUCGCCUCAGCAAUUCUUUUCAAACUCUGGCUCUUGCAUUUCUUCAGAGAAAUUCAGCACCUGGUUCACCCAUUGUUCCUUCCAGCUGCUCUUUGCUGUCAGGGAAGGCAUUGAGGAGGUGGAAUUUAUCCCAAACUGUCCCAUUCUUUUCUUCCCUGGCCAUUGACUCGGCCAACAUCUGCUCCCGUUAACCCUCGCUGGCCCCACAGCUCUGGGGAUCCUUUAUGACUCCAGAGCUCUUGGCAUUGUGUCAGCAACAGCUGAGGUGUCCCGAGAGGAGAAAAUCCUCCUUCUGCUGGGCUGGAAUGGGAUUUGUGCUCUAAAACCCACCCUGGAUAGCUCAGCAAUCAGCAAGGAGGUAAAUCAAAGUGUUUUCUCCCUAAAAAUCAUCUCACAUACACUCUCAUGAUGAAACCUGGUGGGUUCAGCUCCCCUUCCCUGCCAGGCUCUUGGGAAUCACACCAAACACUGCAAGAUUAAUUGCUUUUAUUUGUUCUGCUGCGUUGUUUUCCUACUUUUGGGCACAAAUUGCUUUUCAGCCGCUGCUCUGCCAUAGGGGCUUCAUUGGAAGCAGCGUGGAUACCUAUGGAUCCCAUAUGGCUCCUCUGGGAAACAGCUCCGUGAUAAAGACUGGAAAUAGGCACGGAGCAGAUGGGAGGGAAGGGGCACCGCUUUUAACAGCAAAAUCCUCUCUGCCUUCGCACGGUAACAAGUGCUGGGAUGUGGGAAGGAAUAUAUUAGGAAGGACAAGAGGUGUUUGGAGAUGCAGCUGCACUUUGCAUGCGCUUCUGGUCCCCUUCCCACCACGGGGAGAGCAAGAGAGGCUUUUCCCUUUCAUUUACGAGGAUUUGGGGCUCUGGAAGGAGCUGGGAGGGAACGGUGACACUGCAGACAGAAGGAGUCAGAACGGCAGCUCCGCUCACACACGGGUGGGAACACCCCCAAAGCUCCUCCAGGAGCCCCCCGGGC